GAUGAAGAACGCAGCGAAAUGCGAUACGUAAUGUGAAUUGCAGAAUUCAGUGAAUCAUCGAAUCUUUGAACGCACAUUGCGCCCGCCAGCACUCUGGCGGGCAUGCCUGUUCGAGCGUCAUUUCAACCAUCAAGCCCCAGGCUUGCGUUGGAGCCCUGCGGCUGCCGCAGCCUCCUAAAGGCAGUGGCGGGCUCGCUAUCACACCGAGUGCAGUAGAUUACUCUUCGCUCAGGGCGUGCAGCGGGUUCCGGCCGUGAAACCCCCUACUUUUAAAGGUUGACCUCGGAUCAGGUAGGAAUACCCGCUGAACUUAAGCAUAUCAAUAAGCGGAGGA
RNAcentral lists this unclassified non-coding RNA (334 nucleotides) under soil metagenome. RNAcentral's name for it is "partial contains 5.8S ribosomal RNA, internal transcribed spacer 2, and large subunit ribosomal RNA". The stretch from base 1 to 120 matches the Rfam family "5.8S ribosomal RNA", at positions 35 to 154 of the family's 154-position model. The record is from RNAcentral.